AGGAUUAUAGUUUAUAAAACAUUUGAUUUGCAUUCAAAAAAUAUUGAAACUCAGUUCAAUUUAUCUUA
RNAcentral lists this transfer RNA (68 nucleotides) under Phyllonorycter froelichiella. Its description in RNAcentral is "tRNA-Ala". It matches the Rfam family "tRNA". Rfam says of the family: Transfer RNA (tRNA) molecules are approximately 80 nucleotides in length. Their secondary structure includes four short double-helical elements and three loops (D, anti-codon, and T loops). Further hydrogen bonds mediate the characteristic L-shaped molecular structure. tRNAs have two regions of fundamental functional importance: the anti-codon, which is responsible for specific mRNA codon recognition, and the 3' end, to which the tRNAs corresponding amino acid is attached (by aminoacyl-tRNA synthetases). tRNAs cope with the degeneracy of the genetic code in two manners: having more than one tRNA (with a specific anti-codon) for a particular amino acid; and 'wobble' base-pairing, i.e. permitting non-standard base-pairing at the 3rd anti-codon position. The record is from RNAcentral. Lineage: Eukaryota; Metazoa; Arthropoda; Insecta; Lepidoptera; Gracillariidae.